AUCAUCAUUAAAAAGACACAACUAAAUCAACAUAUUAUGAAUGAUAAUUCUGAAAGUCAGAUGAGCACCAAACGUGUGGCACCUCCAAUGGCCAUCCAAAUUGUUGGACCUAUUAUCAUCCAACUUAAUGGGAGGCUGUGAUCUAGUUAUCACCAUAACUAUUUUAUUUUUAGAGACCUAAUAAUUUUAGAGGAUUUAAGUAGGUGAAAUGAAAGAUGAGAUAAG
RNAcentral lists this long non-coding RNA (225 nucleotides) under Elaeis guineensis (African oil palm). Its description in RNAcentral is "long non-coding RNA (EGUI_LNC050577)". Lineage: Eukaryota; Viridiplantae; Streptophyta; Magnoliopsida; Arecales; Arecaceae. The record is from RNAcentral.